RNAcentral lists this small RNA (564 nucleotides) under Pongo abelii (Sumatran orangutan). Its description in RNAcentral is "processed transcript". The record is from RNAcentral. Lineage: Eukaryota; Metazoa; Chordata; Mammalia; Primates; Hominidae.
AUGUUUCUGAAGAUAGAUACGUAGCUGAGUCUUCUGUCUCCCUCAUCUGUGUCGACGGGACCCCCUCUGGAUCACCAGGCAUGGUGCCUGCUCCCCGCACCAUCAUGAAGUGCCAGGCUCAGCAUCAGCCCCAGCAAAUGGCAGCCUUGUGUCUAGGGAGUGGGGAGGGAGGAGAAAUCAGGGAGUGAAUGCCCAAACCAAGAACGGUGCCACGCCCCUGUACCUGGCGUGCCAGGAGGGCCACCUGGAGGUGACGCAGUACCUGGUGCAGGAAUGCGGCGCAGACCCGCACGCGCGCGCCCACGACGGCAUGACCCCGCUGCACGCCGCGGCGCAGAUGGGCCACAGCCCGGUCAUCGUGUGGUUGGUGAGCUGCACCGACGUGAGCCUGUCCGAGCAGGACAAAGACGGCGCCACCGCCAUGCACUUCGCGGCGAGCCGCGGCCACACCAAGGUGCUCAGCUGGCUGCUGCUGCACGGCGGGGAGAUCUCGGCUGACCUGUGGGGCGGGACGCCGCUGCACGACGCCGCUGAGAACGGGGAGCUAGAGGUCAGCGCGGGCCC